UGAUAGGUGUGUAUCGUUUCUUGGCUUUUCUUCUUCUCGCCAGGUUCAGGGGGAAAGAAGAACAAGAAACUCUUUUGGGUUCCGGCUAUUAUGCCUUGAUUUCAGUUAUCAUCUCGACAGACAGCUUGUGUUUAUGGUUUUUGUGCUGACAAGAAAAAGUGUCCAAAUUGUGGGGGCCAUCACAGGGAAUCAAUCCUUGGCCUCUCCAUAAAAGCAAACAUUUAUUUGUGGGUUUCAGGAUUGGUUUGGUGUUAUUGCAGGAUUGAUCGGACUUAUGGUUAAUUUGUUUCUGAAAGUGAUGAAAUGAGGAAUGGAAUUGACCAUUGACACAGAUGGAUAAAUGUAAUUAUUGUGUGUAAUGUGGAAUGGAAUUACGAUUAUUGUGUGUUUUGGGGGAAUAGAAUUACAAUUAUUGUGUGUAAUUGGGGUAAAGGA
Molecule: long non-coding RNA, 435 nt
Organism: Impatiens glandulifera
Lineage: Eukaryota; Viridiplantae; Streptophyta; Magnoliopsida; Ericales; Balsaminaceae
Exons: 3
Source: RefSeq, a predicted model, not a curated record